UACAGAGGUCCCCAAGCGUUGUUCGGAUUCACUGGGCGUAAAGGGUGCGUAGGUGGCGAGGUAAGUUUGAUGUGAAAUCUCCAGGCUCAACCUGGAAAUGGCAUUGAAUACUCUCUCGCUUGAGGGUCGGAGGGGGGACUGGAAUUCUCGGUGUAGCAGUGAAAUGCGUAGAUAUCGAGAGGAACACCAGUGGCGAAGGCGAGUCCCUGGACGACUCCUGACACUGAGGCACGAAAGCUAGGGGAGCAAACA
This 252-nucleotide ribosomal RNA is filed under the name uncultured bacterium. Its description in RNAcentral is "partial 16S ribosomal RNA". It matches the Rfam family "Bacterial small subunit ribosomal RNA", at positions 524 to 774 of the family's 1533-position model. The record is from RNAcentral.